GGGUUUAAAAGCUGCAGAUAAAUGAUUCAGUCUGGAGGUCAAGAGGUAUCCAAAGAUGCUGCAGUCAAGCAGAAUUGAAGACAGCCACUUGUGAGGAAGGUGGAAGCUGAGCAACCUGCUACCUAAAAUGUAUUUUGAAGCAUGGAAAAUUUUGAUGAGCAGAAACCAAUACAUUUAUAAACACAGUAACCU
Molecule: long non-coding RNA, 192 nt
Organism: Corvus hawaiiensis (hawaiian crow)
Lineage: Eukaryota; Metazoa; Chordata; Aves; Passeriformes; Corvidae
Exons: 3
Source: RefSeq, a predicted model, not a curated record